Papaver somniferum (opium poppy) is the source of this 3044-nucleotide long non-coding RNA. RefSeq lists it as uncharacterized. The record is from RefSeq and is a predicted model, not a curated record. The transcript is spliced from 7 exons. Lineage: Eukaryota; Viridiplantae; Streptophyta; Magnoliopsida; Ranunculales; Papaveraceae.
UCUCUCUCAUUUCCAAUCUCAUUUUCUCUUUCUUCUUCUACUUUCGGUCUCCAUUUCACUAAAGGAACUAGCUCCAUGGAAGUGGAGAAAUCAGUAACCCAAGAUGCUAUUUCAACCAAACUAGUAAACCUUCUAUAGAUUCGUCUUCUGAAAUCCCUCAAAUCGCUAGUCGAGUUGUAGAUCUCAAAUCUGCUGGGAACAGAUUCAGCUUCAUUAUUUCUCUAUUCUUCUCAAAAUCGAAAUUGAAAAAAAUAAUCUGGUAUCAAAUUAGAUGUGAGAUAUGAUUUGAAUCUAAGGGGUUUCAUGAUUAGUGUGAUAUGUGAUUUGAAGCAAGGGUUUUUGUUCGUGUUUUUUUUCUUCAGUAAAUGGAUAAUUAUCUCUCAGAUCCAUUGAUCAGCAUCAAGAACUCUUAGACCAAUUACCCCUUAUAUAAAAGCUCAUCUUUUUUCAGCGGUGAGUCAUAUUUAUAUUUUUUCUUUUUCCUUCUAUUUUUGGAUUUUCUUUUAUGAUCAAUUUUAUUUUCUGAAUCUUAGAGGUAGAGAAGGCAAUAGAGGAGUCAAGUUGGUGGUGGAUCUGAUGUUAUUGUCAAUGUUGUUCCUAAGCAGGGAUUAUGUGGUAGAGGAAGAUUAUAAAGUACUCAAUUCUUAGUUUAUCUCAGUAUCUCUAUAAGGGUUUCUCUUUGUGCAGCCACUAAAUUUUUGUCUUUGUGUUUGCAAUAAGAACAAUAGUAUCUCCGAUGAAAUCAGUGUGGAGGUACCAAGGUAAUGGUGUUACAUAUUUAAUGAUUUUUCCUUGUAUGCUAUCAAAUGAUUAGUGCUUUAAGGAUGUUGUUUCUAGACUAGUUAGAUCUCAAAUGGAUAUUUUUGUUUGCAAUCUUUAUAACAAAUGGGUAUUCUCUCCUGUAUAUUCCUAGGUUCAUCUGUAUCGCGCAUGAGUUGUAUGAUUAAAUUUUGAAGAUAGGAUACUAUUUAGUUGCUCUGCAAAAAAGAAAACCAUUUCAAAUAUAAGUCACUACAUCAUGUGUGCCAAUGUUUUUGGAAGAUUGGUACUUGUUUUUGAAAUUUCGAAGACUCGUACUUGUUUUUGAAGUCUUACUCUGAUGAUUUUAGAGUAAAAGCCCGAUGCAACCUACUGAAACCCACCAUUUGCGCCAAUCUUCUGAAUUAGCUUGCUUACCUAUAUGUUACUCUCUACUUUAUUCACGUUCUGGUACUCUUACCGUGUCCUAUUCCCUAUAUUCUUUUUGAACUCUAGAUCAGUUCAUCAUCGAGAAGUUAGUCAUUACGAGGAUGCAAAACCUUGGAACGAAGGUGUGAUCUUGCAUUCUACUGCACAACACGGAAUGAAAUCGAGAAAUAUGAUGCUGUUAGUUUGGUCACAGGCUCAACUAUGGCUUGUACUUCUCAAGCAGUUGAUGUACUGAGAAAAGCUAAUUGCUCCAACAAAGGCUGCUGGAACUGGAGAGGUAUGUCAUUGAUGAGAGGUGGGGAUUGAGUAACAUAAAUAUUGGAUCAGCACCGCUCUGACUCGGGAUUUAAAUUUGGGUCUGCUGAACAUACAUCAGAAGCAAUAGUGAAGAAGUAUGGUGCCGUAAGGUUAACUUUUGAAGUUGAAGGCCUAACUGUGCUGAGAACAACCCAGGAUUUGCUAUGAAAUCUCAGGCUUUCUGAAUAGUUCAGUUAUGUCUCACAACCAGGUGCUUGCUCAGAUAAGAGAUGAAGUCAUGAGCGAAGGUCAUCAAUGACAGAUUAGGCAUUUUUGAGGGUCUCAUGACCACUGUCCAUGCAGUGACUGCAAAAAAAAAGACAUUUGACGGUCUAUCACGCAAGGACUGGAGAGGUGGAAGGGCUGCUUCAUUCAGUAUCAUUCCUAGCAGCACUGCUCAGUUGAGGGAAAAGUUGGUGUGCAUCAUUUGGAUGAGGUUCUGCAAGAGGAAACUUCAUCGUCAAAUGCCACAGAGGGGCAGGAGAUACACUCAGUCAAUUCGUUAAACUUUUAUCCGGUAAGAGCCUUGGUGGGAUUAUUCUUGCUAAGUCAUCUGUUUUACCAGUCGUGGCUUGUCAAGUUCACUUCAAAUAUCGUCAAUUUGGACCUUGUUGGAUUAAACGAAAUGCUUGUUGAUGGUAUCUGUGAUGUAACAAUUACCAACGAUGGUGCUACGAACUAAAGUUGUUCGAAGUUCUAAGGUAAGAUACAUACAUUUGAGAUUUAAUCGGUUUGAUAAAUUUUGCAGGUAACAUCCAAUUUUGUGAAUUGCCACUCAACGCUUGUGUCAAGAUAGUUGGAUUGCAGUUGAUGCCGACAUUAGAUAAACAUCUAAACAUCCUCGGUCAUCAGUAUAUAUCCAUCUCUUACAACCUACUGUUGAAAACAAGUUAACAUGAUACAAUCUCAAAGAGUUAUCUUUAUCAUUACCUUUCAACUGAGCAUUUUAAAUAUAAAACUAUGAUAUUAGAUGUCUACUUGGAUACAUUUAUUAAGCUUUGUUUCUCUCCCGCCCUGUAAACAAACUAAUGCAGUCUUUGUUGUGUCAGUGGGGAAAAGCUUAAUAUCAUUAACAAAUGUUAUCGUGUAAUCUAGUGUUUUUAUGAAGUUAUAUGAACUUGCCAGCUUGUCUUUUUAUGUUGGUUGUAUUGAUUUUGGAAACUUAUUUUUUGCUGCAGGUACUCUAUUAUUGCCUAUUGGGUGACUCCGUUGUUUGUAUGGUUGCUGGUGGUGGUUUGUGGGGAUGGAAUUGGGAAACGCUCUCCACAUUUUAUUGAGUAUUCUGACCUUCCCGCAUUAAUCAGCUGAUGGCGGAACUUAUUUUUGCAGUAAAGUUAACUGUUUGAAGUAUGUGCUAGCUAAUUUCAUCAUCAUCGGAGUUUACCGUUUGCUGUUUAAUCAAUCAUAUAUUAGUUUAUCAUCCUGUAACGAAAUCUUUGAACUUAAUUACUUGUCUUGUUGAAUGAACUUUUAUUGCUCUGAACUCAAUAUUUUAUUCCUUUUUUGUGUAAUUUGAACUAUGUGAAUCAAUGAAUGUUGAAUUGGAAGAUUAUUUGUGU